RNAcentral lists this unclassified non-coding RNA (1428 nucleotides) under Hevea brasiliensis (rubber tree). Lineage: Eukaryota; Viridiplantae; Streptophyta; Magnoliopsida; Malpighiales; Euphorbiaceae. The record is from RNAcentral.
GUCAUUGCAAAUCCAGAACGAAUCUUCCCUUCAAGAAUGGGUACAAGCCAUUCAAGCAGUUGUUCUUUGUUCCCAUAUCUUAGCAAUACCUAUAAUAUGAAGCGAAAUCACCUAAUUAUGAAUGCUUCAAGAUGGUAAAUGUGCAACAAAACAAAAGCAAGCCACAUCAUUCUACAUGCAGAUAUCAAGAAGCUGCUUGGAUGCAUAUUCUUUCAACUAUUACCUUGAAGAAGUUCAGCAAUGUAAGAUUUAUGUGGCUCAGGCAUCCCACUAUACUGCAUGAUAAAGUAUCUCUGAAUAUGUUUAUUCAUGCAACUCAGUUUCUCUCUGCAGGCCUUGUAAGCUAAAAUGAGCUUGAUUUUGAUGAUAACAAAACUUAAUGAAAUAUACAUUAACCUUUUAUGCAUAAGUAUUUGAAGUGAUUUUAUAGGUCAUGAUAUGCAAAGACACUGAUGGAAGGACUAUUCUAUUGACAUGGCUGAUAUAAAAGGAGUUUAUCAUCUUGUAUAACACAAGAUGAAUCAAAGUCCAUGAAGAAAUAUGAUAGAAAUUAAGCUCUUAGGUCCAUUGUACAAGAUUGGAGAAUUUAUGCCAUUUGAGACCUAAAAUUAAUUUUGUUUUUAGAUUCAAGGGUUUAGAAAGUGUUUUUAUAUCAUUCCUAAGGUUUUUGAAUGGUCAAAAUAAUUUUUACAACCUUUCUUCAAAAACUCAAAAUUUCAAUUUUUAAGUCAGGCAGUAGCGAAAUUAGUUAACCCGUUGCAAAAAUUAGUUAACUAGUUUUGAUGUCUAAAAUUCUCUAUCUUACAAAACUAGUUAACCGAUGAAAAUUUUAGUUAACUAUUUUUAUGACCUGACCUGACUCAACUCUGCUGCACGACUUUCUAAGCAAUAACGGCUAUUUUUUUGAAAAUUAAAGAGCCGUUAGACACACUCUCCAGCAGACGUUUUUGGCAAUGAAAAGCACCUAUAAAAGGCAUCAUUUACUACAAUUCUAACUAAUGAAAGUGUUCUUAUUCAUAGUGAAUUUAUUGUGGUUUUUAAAGCUUUCAUUCAAUUACUCUUGAGCUUAAGUGGAAAAUCUUCUCUCUCAAUCUUCUAGCAUUAAAUUCUGUAUUUGAGAGUUAUUGAGAGUGAUUUCUUCUACAUCAAAACCUAUUUAAGGUUGUGUAAGUGUGAGGACACACUUGUGAAAGGUUUUCAAGUACCUAGUGAAGCUUGUAGUCACUUGUGGAAAGCAAAGACAUUAUAAAGGUUUCAAGCACCUAAGAAGCUUGCUGAAAUUGUAAAGGCUUUGAAUUUUGCCUAUUGAAAAAAUCAAACAGUAUAGUGACUCUCAAAGUGGGACUUUGAAAAGAGUAGAUGUAGGCCAAAAAAGCAAAACCACUAUAAAUAUUGCGUUUGAUGAUCUUCUUCCCUUAAAUCUUUAAU